AACACAUGCAAGUCGAACGGCAGCACAGAGGAGCUUGCUCCUUGGGUGGCGAGUGGCGGACGGGUGAGGAAUACGUCGGAAUCUGCCUAUUUGUGGGGGAUAACGUAGGGAAACUUACGCUAAUACCGCAUACGACCUACGGGUGAAAGUGGGGGACCGCAAGGCCUCACGCAGAUAGAUGAGCCGACGUCGGAUUAGCUAGUUGGCGGGGUAAAGGCCCACCAAGGCGACGAUCCGUAGCUGGCCUGAGAGGAUGAUCAGCCACACUGGAACUGAGACACGGUCCAGACUCCUACGGGAGGCAGCAGUGGGGAAUAUUGGACAAUGGGCGCAAGCCUGAUCCAGCCAUGCCGCGUGUGUGAAGAAGGCCUUCGGGUUGUAAGCACUUUUGUCCGGAAAGAAAAGCUUAGGGUUAAUAACCCUGAGUCAUGACGGUACCGGAAGAAUAAGCACCGGCUAACUUCGUGCCAGCAGCCGCGGUAAUACGAAGGGUGCAAGCGUUACUCGGAAUUACUGGGCGU
This 521-nucleotide ribosomal RNA is filed under the name uncultured bacterium. RNAcentral's name for it is "bacterial SSU rRNA". It matches the Rfam family "Bacterial small subunit ribosomal RNA", at positions 50 to 561 of the family's 1533-position model. The record is from RNAcentral.